Molecule: transfer RNA, 85 nt
Filed under: Felis catus (domestic cat)
Lineage: Eukaryota; Metazoa; Chordata; Mammalia; Carnivora; Felidae
Also listed under: 1 other name
Rfam family: tRNA
About the family: Transfer RNA (tRNA) molecules are approximately 80 nucleotides in length. Their secondary structure includes four short double-helical elements and three loops (D, anti-codon, and T loops).
Source: Rfam by way of RNAcentral
UCCUGGGUGGCUCAGUUGGUUGAGCAUCUGACUUCGGCUCAGGUCAUGAUCUCAUGGUUAGUGGGUUCAAGCCCCACAUCAGGCU